RNAcentral lists this RNase P RNA (394 nucleotides) under Bacteroides sp. RNAcentral's name for it is "RNase P RNA component class A". It matches the Rfam family "Bacterial RNase P class A". From Rfam's summary of the family: Ribonuclease P (RNase P) is a ubiquitous endoribonuclease, found in archaea, bacteria and eukarya as well as chloroplasts and mitochondria. Lineage: Bacteria; Pseudomonadati; Bacteroidota; Bacteroidia; Bacteroidales; Bacteroidaceae. The record is from RNAcentral.
GCAGCCGGCCGGUCUGUCGCUGAUACCGAAUGGUAAAAGAGGAAAGUCCGGGCAACACAGAGCAUCCUACUUUUUAACGGAAAGCCGUCUGCAAAGGUGGAGUAAUGCAGAAGAAAAGAACCGCCAGGUUUCCUCAACGAGAAUCUCCGGAUUCUAAUGAGGUUGCUUGGUAAGGGUGAGAAGGUGGGGUAAGAGCCCACCAGCCGCAUGGUGACAUGUCGGGCUGUGCAUCUUAGGAGUUGUAAGGUCAUGUAAACCGGCAUUAUGAGGGUUGCUCGCCCCACGUCGGAGGGUAGACCGCUUGAGCUUGUUGGUGACAACAGGUGUAGAUAAAUGACAGGCGCCCGUCUUUAAAGGACGGGAACAGAACCCGGCUUAUAGGCUGACUGCUUUU